GGUACAUCGGUGACAGGUGGUGCAUGGUUGUCGUCAGCUCGUGUCGUGAGAUGUUGGGUUAAGUCCCGCAACGAGCGCAACCCCUAUUGUUAGUUGCCAUCAUUCAGUUGGGCACUCUAGCGAGACUGCCGGUAAUAAACCGGAGGAAGUGGGAUGACGUCAAAUCAUCAUGCCCCUUAUGACCUGGGCUACACACGUGCUACAAUGGUUGGUACAACGAGUUGCGAGUCGGUGACGGCGAGCUAAUCUCUUAAAGCCAAUCUCAGUUCGGAUUGUAGGCUGCAACUCGCCUACAUGAAGUCGGAAUCGCUAGUAAUCGCGGAUCAGCACGCCGCGGUGAAUACGUUCCCGGGCCUU
This 357-nucleotide ribosomal RNA is filed under the name uncultured Streptococcus sp. Its description in RNAcentral is "bacterial SSU rRNA". It matches the Rfam family "Bacterial small subunit ribosomal RNA", at positions 1022 to 1382 of the family's 1533-position model. Lineage: Bacteria; Bacillati; Bacillota; Bacilli; Lactobacillales; Streptococcaceae. The record is from RNAcentral.